RNAcentral lists this ribosomal RNA (497 nucleotides) under uncultured bacterium. Its description in RNAcentral is "partial 16S ribosomal RNA". It matches the Rfam family "Bacterial small subunit ribosomal RNA", at positions 28 to 507 of the family's 1533-position model. The record is from RNAcentral.
GAUGAACGCUGGCGGCGUGCCUAAUACAUGCAAGUCGAGCGAACAGACGAGGAGCUUGCUCCUCUGACGUUAGCGGCGGACGGGUGAGUAACACGUGGAUAACCUACCUAUAAGACUGGGAUAACUUCGGGAAACCAGAGCUAAUACCGGAUAAUAUAUUGAACCGCAUGGUUCAAUAGUUAAAUACGGUUUUGCUGUCACUUAUAGAUGGAUCCGCGCCGCAUUAGCUAGUUGGUAAGGUAACGGCUUACCAAGGCAACGAUGCGUAGCCGACCUGAGAGGGUGAUCGGCCACACUGGAACUGAGACACGGUCCAGACUCCUACGGGAGGCAGCAGUAGGGAAUCUUCCGCGAUGGGCGAAAGCCUGACGGAGCAACGCCGCGUGAGUGAUGAAGGUCUUCGGAUCGUAAAACUCUGUUAUUAGGGAAGAACAAAAGUGUAAGUAACUAUGCACGUCUUGACGGUACCUAAUCAGAAAGCCACGGCUAACUACGUG